This 224-nucleotide long non-coding RNA is filed under the name Helianthus annuus (common sunflower). RNAcentral's name for it is "sRNA HanXRQr2_Chr16g0776421". The record is from RNAcentral. Lineage: Eukaryota; Viridiplantae; Streptophyta; Magnoliopsida; Asterales; Asteraceae.
UGUACAUGUUUGUCUUUCAACAUGAUAUCAGAGCUGUGUUCGAUCUAUAGUGCAAGUGAUUGUUGAAGAUUUGUCACCGCUAAACGUGCUACAUGCCUACAUCAAUGACAGAAGCUAGUGAUGACGCAGGAAGAAUGAUAUUUAUGGUGGACUAGAAACACGCCUAAUCUUUAAUUUACGUUUUUAUUUCAUGCUGUUACAUUUAUUUAAAAUAUGUUAUACUU